GUGAGGAAUAUUGGUCAAUGGGCGGGAGCCUGAACCAGCCAAGUCGCGUGAAGGAAGAAGGAUCUAUGGUUCGUAAACUUCUUUUGCAGGGGAAUAAAGUGCAGGACGUGUCCUGUUUUGUAUGUACCCUGAGAAUAAGGAUCGGCUAACUCCGUGCCAGCAGCCGCGGUAAUACGGAGGAUCCGAGCGUUAUCCGGAUUUAUUGGGUUUAAAGGGUGCGUAGGUGGUUUGAUAAGUCAGCGGUGAAAGUUUGCAGCUUAACUGUAAAAAUGCCGUUGAAACUGUCGGACUUGAGUGUAAAUGAGGUAGGCGGAAUGCGUGGUGUAGCGGUGAAAUGCAUAGAUAUCAUGCAGAACUCCGAUUGCGAAGGCAGCUUACUAAGCUACAACUGACACUGAAGCACGAAAGCGUGGGGAUCAAACAGGAUUAGAAACCCCUGUAGUCC
Molecule: ribosomal RNA, 445 nt
Filed under: uncultured bacterium
Lineage: Bacteria
Description: partial 16S ribosomal RNA
Rfam family: Bacterial small subunit ribosomal RNA
Source: RNAcentral